RNAcentral lists this ribosomal RNA (349 nucleotides) under uncultured bacterium. RNAcentral's name for it is "bacterial SSU rRNA". It matches the Rfam family "Bacterial small subunit ribosomal RNA", at positions 30 to 380 of the family's 1533-position model. The record is from RNAcentral.
UGAACGCUGGCGGCAUGCCUUACACAUGCAAGUCGAACGGCAGCACGGGAGCAAUCCUGGUGGCGAGUGGCGGAACGGGUGAGUAAUAUAUCGGAACGUGCCCAGUAGUGGGGGAUAGCCCGGCGAAAGCCGGAUUAAUACCGCAUACGACCUACGGGUGAAAGGGGGGGACCGCAAGACCUCUCGCUAUUGGAGCGGCCGAUAUCAGAUUAGGUUGUUGGUGGGGUAAAAGCCCACCAAGCCGACGAUCUGUAGCUGGUCUGAGAGGACGACCAGCCACACUGGGACUGAGACACGGCCCAGACUCCUACGGGAGGCAGCAGUGGGGAAUUUUGGACAAUGGGCGCAA